AGUGAACGCUGGCGGUAGGCCUAACACAUGCAAGUCGAACGCCCCGCAAGGGGAGUGGCAGACGGGUGAGUAACACGUGGGGAUCUGCCCAAUGGUACGGAAUAAUUCCGGGAAACUGGGACUAAUACCGUAUGUGCCCGCAAGGGGAAAGAUUUAUCGCCAUUGGAUGAACCCGCGUCGGAUUAGCUAGUUGGUGAGGUAAAGGCUCACCAAGGCGACGAUCCGUAGCUGGUCUGAGAGGAUGAUCAGCCACACUGGGACUGAGACACGGCCCAGACUCCUACGGGAGGCAGCAGUGGGGAAUAUUGGACAAUGGGCGCAAGCCUGAUCCAGCCAUGCCGCGUGAGUGAUGAAGGCCUUAGGGUUGUAAAGCUCUUUCGCCGACGAAGAUAAUGACGGUAGUCGGAGAAGAAGCCCCGGCUAACUUCGUGCCAGCCGCCGCAGUAA
This 447-nucleotide ribosomal RNA is filed under the name uncultured bacterium. RNAcentral's name for it is "partial 16S ribosomal RNA". It matches the Rfam family "Bacterial small subunit ribosomal RNA", at positions 29 to 523 of the family's 1533-position model. The record is from RNAcentral.